Molecule: ribosomal RNA, 942 nt
Filed under: Thysanozoon brocchii
Lineage: Eukaryota; Metazoa; Platyhelminthes; Polycladida; Pseudocerotidae
Description: partial large subunit ribosomal RNA
Rfam family: Eukaryotic large subunit ribosomal RNA
Source: RNAcentral
GCCCAGCACCGAAUCCUUCACCNUCUCGGUGACAGGAAAUGUGGUGUUUAGGCCGUACCUUGUCCCGACACGUCUCUCCUCAAGUCCACUUGAUUGUGGCCCCAGGCCCAGAGAGGGUGUAAGGCCCGUGGAGGCGAGACGUUCGGUACCUGGUGCGUCCUUAGAGUCGGGUUGUUUGGGAAUGCAGCCCUAAGCGGGUGGUAAACUCCAUCCAAGGCUAAAUACCAGCACGAGUCCGAUAGCGAAGAAGUACCGCGAGGGAAGGUUGAAAAGAACUUUGAAGAGAGAGUUCAAGAGUACGUGAAACCGCUGAGAGGCAAACUGGUGGAACUGAAAUGGUCCCGAGGAAUUCAGCCGUUGGUCGUUGCACAGUCUUUGGUGAUUGAUCUAACGACGGCGCCAUUGAAUGACGUUUCGAUCAUCGGUGCACUUUCCUCGCCUGGGCCCGACCACGACCGGUGAGCUGAUCUGUCUGUCGUGCUUGGAAGAUAGCGCCGUCUUCGGAAGGCGUGUUAUAGACAGGCAUACGGAGCAGUCGGCGCACUGGAUGAUAGUGCCUGCCCAUCUGGGCUCAUAUGGUGGUUGUUUUGUUGGCGAGUUCUGAUGUCACUACUUCGGUAGAGUCGUUAGACUCUGUUGGCAUUAUGGCUGUCCUCUAUGAUUGGCACUGUUAAGUCUGUGGUUGUGAAGUAGGUAGUCCACCUGACCCGUCUUGAAACACGGACCAAGGAGUCUAACAUGUGCGCGAGUCAUUGGGUUCACGAAACCUAAAGGCGCAGUGAAGGUAAAGAUCUGUUUUGGCAGAUUGAGGUGGGAUGCCGGGUUACGCGCCCGGCCGCACUACCGGCCCGUUCUAUAUGUCUUUCAUAGGAGCGGAGCAAGAGCGUACACGUUGGGACCCGAAAGAUGGUGAACUAUGCUUGCGCAGGUNGAAGCCAGAGA